Molecule: ribosomal RNA, 492 nt
Filed under: uncultured bacterium
Lineage: Bacteria
Description: partial 16S ribosomal RNA
Rfam family: Bacterial small subunit ribosomal RNA
Source: RNAcentral
AGUGAACGCUGGCGGUAGGCCUAACACAUGCAAGUCGAACGGCAGCACAGUAAGAGCUUGCUCUUACGGGUGGCGAGUGGCGGACGGGUGAGGAAUACAUCGGAAUCUACUUUUUCGUGGGGGAUAACGUAGGGAAACUUACGCUAAUACCGCAUACGACCUACGGGUGAAAGCAGGGGAUCUUCGGACCUUGCGCGAUUGAAUGAGCCGAUGUCGGAUUAGCUAGUUGGCGGGGUAAAGGCCCACCAAGGCGACGAUCCGUAGCUGGUCUGAGAGGAUGGUCAGCCACACUGGAGCGGAGACACGGUCCAGACUCCUACGGGAGGCAGCAGUGGGGAAUGUUGGACAAUGGGCGCAAGCCUGAUCCAGCCAUACCGCGUGGGUGAAGAAGGCCUUCGGGUUGUAAAGCCCUUUUGUUGGGAAAGAAAAGCAGCAGGUUAAUACCCCGCUGUUCUGACGGUACCCAAAGAAUAAGCACCGGCUAACUUCGUG